AUUGAACGCUGGCGGUAUGCCUUACACAUGCAAGUCGAACGGCAGCACAGUUGGAUCUUGCUCUUGCCGGUUGCGAGUCGCGGACGUGUUAGAUCUGCACCUGUCUCUACUUUUUCGUUGGCGCGGACGUAGCGAGACUAAUGCUACUUCCGCAUUCCGCCUGCGGGUGGAAGCCGUUCAUCUUCCGCGCUUUCGCGUUUGCCUAUGCCGAUGUCGGAUUAGCUAGUUGGCGGGGUAAAGGCCUACCAAGGCGACGAUCAGUAGCUGGUCUGAGAGGAUGACCAGCCACACUGGAACUGAGACACGGCCCAGACUCCUACGGGAGGCAGCAGUGGGGAAUAUUGGACAAUGGGCGAAAGCCUGAUCCAGCAAUGCCGCGUGUGUGAAGAAGGCCUUCGGGUUGUAAAGCACUUUUGUCCGGAAAGAAAAGCUGGGGCCUAAUACGGUCGGGGGAUGACGGUACCGGAAGAAUAAGCACCGGCUAACUACGUG
Molecule: ribosomal RNA, 492 nt
Filed under: uncultured bacterium
Lineage: Bacteria
Description: partial 16S ribosomal RNA
Rfam family: Bacterial small subunit ribosomal RNA
Source: RNAcentral